AUGCACUUCUUUCCUUUUGAUAGAGCUACUUGUCUUGUUAUAGCCUUGUCUGAGAGGCAGGUAAAUUACAUUCUUUACAAUUUGAUGAGUUCUGUCUCAUUUUUCUCACUACAGUUGAUGCUUAUGGUACACCUGUCUAUGAAACUAAGAACACUCAAAAACAUCUUUUCAGUAAUAAUUAACUACUCACUGCAACAGAUAAAAAUAGGUGGCGGGGGUGAUUUACCAUCUCUAAACCUUAUUGAGAGCCAAAAAGAGUAUGGCUGGAGUAGUCUUGUCAAUAAGCAUCGACUGACCUGCAACUGCAUUUACCCACUGACCAGCUACACGUUUUCAUUCUGA
Molecule: ribosomal RNA, 342 nt
Filed under: Triticum aestivum (bread wheat)
Lineage: Eukaryota; Viridiplantae; Streptophyta; Magnoliopsida; Poales; Poaceae
Description: partial small subunit ribosomal RNA
Source: RNAcentral